UAAGCUGAGUCCAGAACCUAUAUAUCUCUUAACAUCCAGAAAAGUACCUAACAAAUGAAUGCUUGUUGAAUAUUUUUAUAAUCAAUUUUAAUUUCUUUUUUGUUGUUGUUGUUUUGAGACAGAGUUUCGCUUUUGUUGCCCAGGCUGGAGUGCAAUGGUGUGAUCUCUGCUCAGUGCAACCUUCGCCUCUGGAUUCAAGCAAUUCUCCUGCCUCAGCCUCCUGAGUAGCUGGGAUUACAGGGCUCUGAUCAGGAUGAGAGAACAAGAUGGAGAGUCAGACUUCCGAGUCCCUAGGUUCUCAGCACUUGACCCUCACAACGUGGCAUUCCUUCAGGCUCUGGCCUGACAAAACCAUGGAGUCCCCAGGAGAACCAGAUGUUCGGUCACUGCUGUAAGAAUGUGAGACUGAGAGGUCUACGAACACUCACUGAAUCUCGACAACCACAAACACCCAAUUCAGGGCACCGGAGCCUCUUCCCCAACCUUAGGUGAGGCUUAGAAAAUUUCCUCCGUCCCUCCUGUCUAACCAUUAGGCAGUGCGGCGAUAAGCUAAGGUUGAUCCUUAAACACGAGUCACCUAGUUAACCUCCCUCACCAUGCAAACAGACACAUACAGAAUUUAAGGCCAUAGAAAAUAGACGCCACCAGGGAAUUCUCAGAGAUCAUUUAUUUCAGAGACUUGUGUUAAAAAAUUCUAUAUCUUAGACAAGUCUUGGCCACAAUAUUUUGGCAUUGUGAUCACCUGAUUCUAAAAUAUCAAAUAUUACAGUGCAGUGGAUUUGUGUACACAUCUGUAAGCCCCAGGGGAUAUAAGACCCCACACAACCCCUUUAUAAGAGUAGGGCUAGUAGACAGAAUUGCUACCCACCUUAUAGGAUAAUUUUGUCACAUUAGGCUGUUGCUCUUUGGCAUUAUAUUCCAGGAUCAUUUCUUGAACCAUAGUCAUAUAAAUGGCCACAACAAGGACUUUUGCUUUAUGCAACUUCACUAGGCUCCCUCCUUACCUA
Molecule: long non-coding RNA, 1007 nt
Filed under: Callithrix jacchus (white-tufted-ear marmoset)
Lineage: Eukaryota; Metazoa; Chordata; Mammalia; Primates; Cebidae
Description: lncRNA (ENSCJAG00000078299.1)
Source: RNAcentral